GAUGAACGCUGCCAGAAUGCUUAACACAUGCAAGUCCACUUGAACUUCGGUUUGGGUGGCGGACGGGUGAGUAACGCGUAAAGAACUUGCCUCACAGCUAGGGACAACAUUUGGAAACGAAUGCUAAUACCUGAUAUUAUGAUUUUAGGGCAUCCUAGAAUUAUGAAAGCUAUAUGCGCUGUGAGAGAGCUUUGCGUCCCAUUAGCUAGUUGGAGAGGUAACGGCUCACCAAGGCGAUGAUGGGUAGCCGGCCUGAGAGGGUGAACGGCCACAAGGGGACUGAGACACGGCCCUUACUCCUACGGGAGGCAGCAGUGGGGAAUAUUGGACAAUGGACCAAGAGUCUGAUCCAGCAAUUCUGUGUGCACGAUGAAGUUUUUCGGAAUGUAAAGUGCUUUCAGUUGGGAAGAAAAAAAUGACGGUACCAACAGAAGAAGUGACGGCUAAAUACGUG
RNAcentral lists this ribosomal RNA (454 nucleotides) under uncultured bacterium. RNAcentral's name for it is "partial 16S ribosomal RNA". It matches the Rfam family "Bacterial small subunit ribosomal RNA", at positions 28 to 507 of the family's 1533-position model. The record is from RNAcentral.